RNAcentral lists this ribosomal RNA (483 nucleotides) under uncultured bacterium. Its description in RNAcentral is "partial 16S ribosomal RNA". It matches the Rfam family "Bacterial small subunit ribosomal RNA", at positions 29 to 507 of the family's 1533-position model. The record is from RNAcentral.
UUGAACGCUGGCGGCAUGCUUUACACAUGCAAGUCGAACGGCAGCGCGGGCUUCGGCCUGGCGGCGAGUGGCGAACGGGUGAGUAAUGCAACGGAACGUGCCCAGUAGUGGGGGAUAGCCCGGCGAAAGCCGGAUUAAUACCGCAUACGACCUGAGGGUGGAAGCGGGGGACCGAAAGGCCUCGCGCUAUUUGAGCGGCCGAUGUCGGAUUAGCUAGUUGGUGGGGUAAAGGCUUACCAAGGCGACGAUCCGUAGCCGGUCUGAGAGGACGACCAGCCACACUGGGACUGAGACACGGCCCAGACUCCUACGGGAGGCAGCAGUGGGGAAUUUUGGACAAUGGGGGCAACCCUGAUCCAGCCAUGCCGCGUGCGGGAAGAAGGCCUUCGGGUUGUAAAACGCUUUUGUUCGGGAAGAAAUCCUCUGGGCUAAUACCCCGGGGGGAUGACGGUACCGGAAGAAUAAGCACCGGCUAACUACGUG